UACGUAGGGUGCGAGCGUUAAUCGGAAUUACUGGGCGUAAAGCGUGCGCAGGCGGUUUGUUAAGUCAGAUGUGAAAGCCCCGGGCUUAACCUGGGAACGGCAUUUGAAACUGGCAGGCUGGAGUGCGGCAGAGGGGGGUGGAAUUCCACGUGUAGCAGUGAAAUGCGUAGAGAUGUGGAGGAACACCGAUGGCGAAGGCAGCCCCCUGGGCCGACACUGACGCUCAGGCACGAAAGCGUGGGGAGCAAACAGG
This 253-nucleotide ribosomal RNA is filed under the name uncultured bacterium. RNAcentral's name for it is "partial 16S ribosomal RNA". It matches the Rfam family "Bacterial small subunit ribosomal RNA", at positions 524 to 776 of the family's 1533-position model. The record is from RNAcentral.